GACGAACGCUGGCGGCGUGCUUAACACAUGCAAGUCGAGCGGUAAGGCCCCUUCGGGGGUACACGAGCGGCGAACGGGUGAGUAACACGUGGGUGACCUGCCCUCAGCUCUGGGAUAAGCCUGGGAAACUGGGUCUAAUACCGGAUAUGACUCCAUGACGCAUGUCGUGGGGUGGAAAGCCUUGUGCGGCUGGGGAUGGGCCCGCGGCCUAUCAGCUUGUUGGUGGGGNGAUGGCCUACCAAGGCGACGACGGGUAGCCGGCCUGAGAGGGCGACCGGCCACACUGGGACUGAGACACGGCCCAGACUCCUACGGGAGGCAGCAGUGGGGAAUCUUGCGCAAUGGGCGAAAGCCUGACGCAGCGACGCCGCGUGAGGGAUGACGGCCUGGUGUAACGU
RNAcentral lists this ribosomal RNA (398 nucleotides) under uncultured bacterium. RNAcentral describes it as "bacterial SSU rRNA". It matches the Rfam family "Bacterial small subunit ribosomal RNA", at positions 28 to 431 of the family's 1533-position model. The record is from RNAcentral.